UAAAUACUGCAACCACCUGAGCCUAUUACCGUGCCAUCCAGCAUCUCCAUAAUUCUCUGGUCUCCAACAUUCAGCGAACAUCAACUCCAUUUCAUAUUGAACACGGAAAUGAAACUCCUCAUUCAAAUCAUUAUUCGAAUGAAGCCUCUCCGGCUGGAUUUAAUUGAAGGUGAGAUGACGGAGGUGAGAGCAGGCCACCGGCUGACUCAGAACCUGUGUGUCGCGUUGCAGAUCCUAGGUCUUCAGCACUGAUCUGAGAUCUUUUUAACAAUCACAAUCAGACAGCAGUAAGACGGUUUUCUUUAGGUUUCCUGCCUGUACAUCUAGAAAUCUGAAGUAGGUUCUAUGUCAUCUUGAGGGUUCAAAAACCAGAGGCCUUCCAACCUACCUGACCUGCUAACAGGUACAACUUCAGCUAAUCAUCACUGAAGUCAGAAGAGGACCUGCCGAAGAGCAAGUAUCUCCUGCCAACGAACAGAUCCAAGAGAAGUGUCCAGAGCAACAAGAUGUGCAACAUCCUUUGACUAUUCGACAUGAUUUUACAGGUCAGAGGAGAAAACAGUUCAGCUCCAUUGACAACCACUUGGUACUUGGAAACACAUUUAAUAGUCCCUCUGUGUAAUUGUUCAUGUAAUGGUCUGGCUGGAACACAGCACCUCUGCUGUUUAUGAGCCAGGGUCGCAAAUUUGGUUUGACAGGUGGGGGAACCACCGGUGGGAGUUGGUCAGCAGCGAAUGAUCAACAAAGGCUUUUUUCUGAUCACUGAAUGUUCUUUUGUCAUAACCUGUACUAGUGUACCACAGCCAACACCGCACAGAGAUCAGAAUCUCUUUAAAUAUUAUUUGAAUUGUACAUUUAUUGUAUAAGUUUCAGUAUUUACAGUAUAUUAUGGUUAAUUAUUAUUUUACUGUCUGAAUUUUUUAUUUUAAUCACAUGCUUAGAAAACCAAGAGUAUCUACGUAAUAUAUUGUGGAAUAAAGAAAUACGGUUAUACUGUUAAAAGAAAAAAAACAA
Molecule: long non-coding RNA, 1014 nt
Organism: Gadus chalcogrammus (walleye pollock)
Lineage: Eukaryota; Metazoa; Chordata; Actinopteri; Gadiformes; Gadidae
Exons: 3
Source: RefSeq, a predicted model, not a curated record